CCGAAAAUUUCAUUAAUUUACUAAGAUGACGCCGUUUAUUCUUUACCAAUGCGGCUAUAGUUUCUCAAUAAUUUCAAAAACGUACAAGGCACCUAGGGUGCAUCACAUAUACAUAUAAUCUGUAGAAUCACUAUGGUCCAACAGGUUCAAAAAAUAUUAGUGAAGUUCUUUUUUGACAAAGUUACUAAUGGAACUAGUUCCUAUAAAAUAAUGACCAUAUUCCUAGUAGACUAUAUAUUGAAAAACUUAUAAAGGGAGAAACUAUAUUAGUAUCGGCAGACAGAUAAAAAUAAUUAUGUGUACUUAGGUACUGUUUGGGGUUGCUGUUGCAGACAGCAACAGCAGCUUUUUGCUGAAAAGCAUGUGAAAAACUGUUUGGUAAAUCGAAAAGCAGCUUUUUUUAACAGCAGCUUUUAGCUGAAAAGCUGCUGUUAGAAAAAGCAGGUCCUCCCAUGCUUUUGGAAAAAGCUGCUUUUCAGCUUUUGCAGAAUGCUGUUAUAGAUUUCAUUAUAAAACAUCACCAAAAACAUUAUUGUUUUUAAUAUUAUAACUCAAAAUAAGUAUAUCAAAAAAUUACCAAACAGUUAUCUGAUUUCUACAACAGCACUUAUUUUACCAGCACUUUUUCUCACAGCACAGCAAUUUUUAACAGCACUCCCAAACAGACCCUUAAAUGAGAAUGUCACAGCACAUGUGCCCAAAAUUUGGGAGAAGGCAAAGAAAAGCCCAAAACUGAAGCACCUAGGUGAAAGGCACAUCUUAACAUGAAACCCUUGCAAUCAGUGCUCAUGCAAGGCCCUCU
Molecule: long non-coding RNA, 802 nt
Filed under: Daucus carota (carrot)
Lineage: Eukaryota; Viridiplantae; Streptophyta; Magnoliopsida; Apiales; Apiaceae
Description: long non-coding RNA (DCAR_LNC001416)
Source: RNAcentral